UACGUAGGGUGCAAGCGUUGUCCGGAUUUAUUGGGCGUAAAGAGCUCGUAGGCGGUUCAGUAAGUCGGGUGUGAAAACUCAGGGCUCAACCCUGAGCUGCCACCCGAUACUGCUGUGACUUGAGUCUGGUAGGGGAGUGGGGAAUUCCUGGUGUAGCGGUGAAAUGCGCAGAUAUCAGGAGGAACACCGGUGGCGAAGGCGCCACUCUGGGCCACGACUGACGCUGAGGAGCGAAAGCCAGGGGAGCAAACGGG
Molecule: ribosomal RNA, 254 nt
Filed under: uncultured bacterium
Lineage: Bacteria
Description: partial 16S ribosomal RNA
Rfam family: Bacterial small subunit ribosomal RNA
Source: RNAcentral